Molecule: ribosomal RNA, 410 nt
Filed under: uncultured bacterium
Lineage: Bacteria
Description: bacterial SSU rRNA
Rfam family: Bacterial small subunit ribosomal RNA
Source: RNAcentral
GAUCUCCCCCCUGGCGGGGGACAACCGUGGGAAACCACGGCUAAUACCGCAUACAGCGGCGGGCUUUCGGGCCGGUCGUGAAAGCUGGCCUCUUCCUUAAGCCAGCGCCGGGGGAUGAGCUCGCGUCCUAUCAGCCGGCUGGUGAGGUAAGGGCUCACCAGGGCGAUGACGGGUAGCUGACGUGAGAGCGUGGUCAGCCACACUGGGACUGAGACACGGCCCAGACUCCUACGGGAGGCAGCAGUGGGGAAUCUUGCACAAUGGGGGCAACCCUGAUGCAGCGACGCCGCGUGUGGGAGGAAGGCCUUCGGGUUGUAAACCACUGUCGGGCGGGACGAGCCGGGGGUCGUCGAACAGGCGGCUCCUCCGACGGUACCGCCCAUAGGAAGCUCCGGCUAACUCCGUGCCAG